GAGCCAUCAGUGAGAAACCACUCUGGAAGAGCUCGGAUUCUAACCUUGUGUCAGACCCGCGGGCCAAGGGACAGUCUCAGGUAGACAGUUUCUAUGGGGCAUAGGCCUCCUAAAAGGUAACGGAGGCGUGCAAAGGUUUCCUCGGGCCAGACGGACAUUGGUCCUCGAGUGCAAAGGCAGAAGGGAGCUUGACUGCAAGACUCACCCGUCGAGCAGAGACGAAAGUCGGCCUUAGUGACCUGAUGGUGCCGAGUGGAAGGGCCGUCGCUCAACGGAAAAAAGGUACUCUAGGGAUAACAUGCAGAUCUUCCCCAAGAGUCCACAUCGACGGGAAGGUUUGGCACCUCGAUGUCGGCUCUUCGCCACCUGGAGCUGUAGGUGGUUCCAAGGGUUAGGCUAUUCGCCCAUUAAUGCGGUACGUGAGUUGGGUUUAGAAUGUCGUGAGACAGUUCGGUCCAUAUCCGGUGUGGGCGUUAGAGCAUUGAGAGGACCUUUCCCUAGUACGAGAGGGCCGGGAAGGACGCACCUUUGGUGUACCAGUUAUCGUGCCUACGGUAAAUGCUGGGUAGCCAAGUGCGGAGAGGAUAACUGCUGAAAGCAUAUAAGUAGUAAGCCCACCCCAAGAUGAGUGCUCUCUCCUCUGACUUCCGUAGAGCCUCCGGUAUCACAGCCGAGACAGCGACGGGUUCUCCACCCAUACGGGGAUGGAGCAACAAAAGUAUGGAAAUAGGAUAAGGUAGCGGCGAGACAAGCCGUUUAAAUAGGUGUCAAGUGGAAGUGUAGUGAUGUAUGCAGCUGAGGCAUCCUAACGAACGAACGAUUUGAACCU
This 829-nucleotide ribosomal RNA is filed under the name Triticum aestivum (bread wheat). RNAcentral's name for it is "rRNA LSU_rRNA_eukarya". It matches the Rfam family "Bacterial large subunit ribosomal RNA", at positions 2183 to 2925 of the family's 2925-position model. The record is from RNAcentral. Lineage: Eukaryota; Viridiplantae; Streptophyta; Magnoliopsida; Poales; Poaceae.